GCUCAGAACGAACGCUGGCGGCAGGCUUAACACAUGCAAGUCGAGCGCACCUUCGGGUGAGCGGCGGACGGGUGAGUAACGCGUGGGAAUAUGCCUCUUGGUACGGAAUAGCCUCUGGAAACGGAGAGUAAUACCGUAUGUGCCCUUUGGGGGAAAGAUUUAUCGCCAAGAGAUUAGCCCGCGUUAGAUUAGUUAGUUGGUAAGGUAACGGCUUACCAAGGCAGCGAUGGCUAGGGGCCCUGAGAGGGGGAUCCCCCACACUGGUACUGAGACACGGACCAGACUCCUACGGGAGGCAGCAGUGAGGAAUAUUGGACAAUGGUGGGAACACUGAUCCAGCCAUGCCGCGUGCAGGAUGACUGCCCUAUGGGUUGUAAACUGCUUUUAUACGGGAAGAAACCCAGGUACGUGUACCUGGCUGACGGUACCGUAAGAAUAAGGACCGGCUAACUCCGUGCCAGCAGCCGCGGUAAUACGGAGGGUCCGAGCGUUAUCCGGAAUCAUUGGGUUUAAAGGGUCCGUAGGCGGGCCAAUAAGUCAGAGGUGAAAGGCCACGGCUCAACCGUGGGACUGCCUUUGAUACUGUUGGUCUUGAGUCAUAGUGGGGUUGCCGGAACAUGUGGUGUAGCGGUGAAAUGCAUAGAUAUCACAUAGAACACCGAUCGCGAAGGCAGGUGGCCAACUAUGUACUGACGCUGAUGGACGAAAGCGUGGGGAGCGAACGGGAUUAGAUACCCCGGUAGUCCACGCCGUAAACGAUGGAUACUAGCUGUGGGGACUUCGGUCUCCGUGGCCAAGCGAAAGUGAUAAGUAUCCCACCUGGGGAGUACGUUCGCAAGAAUGAAACUCAAA
Molecule: ribosomal RNA, 852 nt
Filed under: uncultured marine bacterium
Lineage: Bacteria
Description: bacterial SSU rRNA
Rfam family: Bacterial small subunit ribosomal RNA
Source: RNAcentral